AUGACAUAUAUGAGAUGUUUUGAAGGGAAAAUUGACAAGAAUUCAUGCCUAAUAAAGAGGAGGUGAUUAAGAAAUAUCAAGUGCAAUAUCAAAGUUUCUACCCUAUGUGAUUGAGAUAAUGAGAAUUCCAUUAGUAUAAUAAGACUGAUAGAAUUAGAGAUGAUAAAAUUGGCCUUGGAUCUGCCAAGUCUGAGAUGACAAUAAGACAGUGAUUUUCAACCAGUGUGCCAUAAGAAAUUUUUAAAAAUGCAAUACCUGACUAUUUAGUCAGGGGCACUGACCUCUUUUCCCUUAUAUUGACAAAUAAAAAAUGAUAAAAGCCAACACAGUAAUAGCUGUCCAGUGUGAAUGCCUCGUCUUGAACCAUAAAUGUCAAUAUAUAGAUCAUAUAGUAGAGUUGCAUCUUAUUGGUUACAUGAUGCAUAUAAUAAGGUUGCAGCUGAUUGGUUUUCCUGGUAUCAGAAAUUCUUAUAUACAAGUCACACUUGAUUUUUUUAAAAAGUCACUUUGGGGCAAAAAGUAUAGAUAAUUACUAAUUUUUUUGUAAAUCAAUCAAAAUUAUUUGUCAGAUCGGCUAAAAUAUAUUUUUUGGUGUGCUGCAGAAUUUUAGUAAUUAGUUUAUGUGUGCCAUGAGAUCAAAAGGGUUGAAAAUUCUGAUCUGGACCCAUUGCUAUAUAGU
Long non-coding RNA from Phyllostomus discolor (pale spear-nosed bat), 679 nucleotides. RefSeq lists it as uncharacterized. The transcript has 4 exons. Lineage: Eukaryota; Metazoa; Chordata; Mammalia; Chiroptera; Phyllostomidae. The record is from RefSeq and is a predicted model, not a curated record.